RNAcentral lists this transfer RNA (66 nucleotides) under Malapterurus electricus (electric catfish). Its description in RNAcentral is "tRNA-Cys". The record is from RNAcentral. Lineage: Eukaryota; Metazoa; Chordata; Actinopteri; Siluriformes; Malapteruridae.
AGCCCCGGCAGGGGUAUAGCCUGCCUCUUUAGAUUUGCAAUCUAAUAUGUAAAACACCUCGGGACU